RNAcentral lists this non-coding RNA (20 nucleotides) under Arabidopsis thaliana (thale cress). The record is from RNAcentral. Lineage: Eukaryota; Viridiplantae; Streptophyta; Magnoliopsida; Brassicales; Brassicaceae.
GUGUGAUGGUGUGUCAUUCA